RNAcentral lists this ribosomal RNA (508 nucleotides) under uncultured glomeraceous AM fungus. Its description in RNAcentral is "SSU rRNA". It matches the Rfam family "Eukaryotic small subunit ribosomal RNA", at positions 569 to 1078 of the family's 1831-position model. The record is from RNAcentral. Lineage: Eukaryota; Fungi; Glomeromycota; Glomeromycetes; Glomerales; Glomeraceae.
AGCAGCCGCGGUAAUUCCAGCUCCAAUAGCGUAUAUUAAAGUUGUUGCAGUUAAAAAGCUCGUAGUUGAAUUUCGGGGUUAGUAGAUUGGUCAUGCCUCUGGUAUGUACUGGUCUCACUGAUUCCUCCUUCCUGAUGAACCUUAAUGCCAUUAAUUUGGUGUUUUGGGGAAUUUGGACUGUUACUUUGAAAAAAUUAGAGUGUCUAAAGCAAGCUAACGCUUGAAUACAUUAGCAUGGAAUAAUGAAAUAGGACGUUCGAUCCUAUUUUGUUGGUUUCUAGGAUUGACGUAAUGAUUAAUAGGGAUAGUUGGGGGCAUUAGUAUUCAAUUGUCAGAGGUGAAAUUCUUGGAUUUAUUGAAGACUAACUACUGCGAAAGCAUUUGCCAAGGAUGUUUUCAUUAAUCAAGAACGAAAGUUAGGGGAUCGAAGACGAUCAGAUACCGUCGUAGUCUUAACCAUAAACUAUGCCGGCUAGGGAUCGGAUGAUGUUAAUUUUUUAAUGACUCA